GCAGUAGGAUAGGCGAAGCGUGCGAUUGGAUUGCACGUCUAAGCAGUAAGGCUGAGUAUUAGGCAAAUCCGGUACUCGUUAAGGCUGAGCUGUGAUGGGGAGAAGACAUUGUGUCUUCGAGUCGUUGAUUUCACACUGCCGAGAAAAGCCUCUAGAUAGAAAAUAGGUGCCCGUACCGCAAACCGACACAGGUAGUCAAGAUGAGAAUUCUAAGGUGAGCGAGCGAACUCUCGUUAAGGAACUCGGCAAAAUGACCCCGUAACUUCGGGAGAAGGGGUGCUCUUUAGGGUUAACGCCCAGAAGAGCCGCAGUGAAUAGGCCCAAGCGACUGUUUAUCAAAAACACAGGUCUCUGCUAAACCGUAAGGUGAUGUAUAGGGGCUGACGCCUGCCCGGUGCUGGAAGGUUAAGAGGAGUGGUUAGCUUCUGCGAAGCUACGAAUCGAAGCCCCAGUAAACGGCGGCCGUAACUAUAACGGUCCUAAGGUAGCGAAAUUCCUUGUCGGGUAAGUUCCGACCCGCACGAAAGGCGUAACGAUUUGGGCACUGUCUCAACGAGAGACUCGGUGAAAUCAUAGUACCUGUGAAGAUGCAGGUUACCCGCGACAGGACGGAAAGACCCCGUGGAGCUUUACUGUAGCCUGAUAUUGAAAUUCGGCACAGCUUGUAC
RNAcentral lists this ribosomal RNA (668 nucleotides) under Staphylococcus aureus. RNAcentral's name for it is "partial 23S ribosomal RNA". It matches the Rfam family "Bacterial large subunit ribosomal RNA", at positions 1474 to 2139 of the family's 2925-position model. The record is from RNAcentral. Lineage: Bacteria; Bacillati; Bacillota; Bacilli; Caryophanales; Staphylococcaceae.